GAGGAGAGUUCUGGCUACUACUACAACCCUCUAACUGGACUCUCUACGACCCUAACUCACAGUACUACUAUAACGGGGUCACUCAGCAGUAUAUGUACUGGGACGGAGAGAAGCAAACAUAUGUUCCAGCUCCCGCCCAAUCAACAGCUGAGGCUGCCGUUGCCCCCGGUGAUAAGUCCACCCCCCCUGAUCCUCCCUCUGCUGCUCCUGGAGGCAAGGAGAAGAAGCCCAAAAACAAGACAGCUCAACAGAUAGCAAAGGACAUGGAGCGUUGGGCUAAGAGUCAGAACAGACAGAAGGAGAACGUUCGCUCUCUCCCUCUUCCUCCUCUUCCUCCUCUCCGUGACCCCUGGACCUCUAUGGC
Non-coding RNA from Salmo salar (Atlantic salmon), 364 nucleotides. Lineage: Eukaryota; Metazoa; Chordata; Actinopteri; Salmoniformes; Salmonidae. The record is from RefSeq and is a predicted model, not a curated record.